AGCAGCCGCGGUAAUUCCAGCUCCAAUAGCGUAUAUUAAAGUUGUUGCAGUUAAAAAGCUCGUAGUUGAAUUUCGGGGUUAGUAGGUUGGUCGUGCCACUGGUAUGUACUGGUUCUACUGAUCCCUCCUUCUUGUAGAACCGUAAUGCCAUUCACUUGGUGUUGCGGGGAAACAGGACUGUUACUUUGAAAAAAUUAGAGUGUUUAAAGCAGGCUAACGCUUGAAUACAUUAGCAUGGAAUAAUGAAAUAGGACGUUCGAUCCUAUUUUGUUGGUUUCUAGGAUUGACGUAAUGAUUAAUAGGGAUAGUGGGGGGCAUUAGUAUUCAAUUGUCAGAGGUGAAAUUCUUGGAUUUAUUGAAGACUGACUACUGCGAAAGCAUUUGCCAAGGAUGUUUUCAUUAAUCAAGAACGAAAGUUAGGGGAUCGAAGACGAUCAGAUACCGUCGUAGUCUUAACCAUAAACUAUGCCGACUAGGGAUCGGAUGAUGUUAAUUUUUUAAUGACUCAUUCGGCGCCUUA
RNAcentral lists this ribosomal RNA (520 nucleotides) under uncultured Glomeromycotina. RNAcentral describes it as "SSU rRNA". It matches the Rfam family "Eukaryotic small subunit ribosomal RNA", at positions 569 to 1090 of the family's 1831-position model. The record is from RNAcentral. Lineage: Eukaryota; Fungi; Glomeromycota.